This is a small nuclear RNA of Bison bison bison, 107 nucleotides long. The record is from Ensembl. Lineage: Eukaryota; Metazoa; Chordata; Mammalia; Artiodactyla; Bovidae.
UUGUAUAAUUCGGCAACACAUAUUCUAAAGUUGGAAUGAUACAGAGAAAAUUAACAUGGUCCCUGUGUAAGGAUGACACACAAAUUCAUGAACUGUUCCAUAAUUUU